This 502-nucleotide ribosomal RNA is filed under the name uncultured bacterium. Its description in RNAcentral is "bacterial SSU rRNA". It matches the Rfam family "Bacterial small subunit ribosomal RNA", at positions 29 to 524 of the family's 1533-position model. The record is from RNAcentral.
AAUGAACGCUGGCGGCGCGCCUAAUACAUGCAAGUCGAGCGAGAAGACGUAGCAAUACGUUUGUAAAGCGGCGAACGGGUGAGGAAUACAUGGGUAACCUACCCUAGAGUGGGGAAUAACUAGCCGAAAGGUUAGCUAAUACCGCGUACGCUCCUUGGACUUCGGUUCAGGGAGGAAAGCGAUACCGAGGGUAUCGCGCUCUUGGAUGGGCUCAUGUCCUAUCAGCUUGUUGGUGAGGUAACGGCUCACCAAGGCUUCGACGGGUAGCUGGUCUGAGAGGACGAUCAGCCACACUGGCACUGCGACACGGGCCAGACUCCUACGGGAGGCAGCAGUAAGGAAUAUUGCGCAAUGGGCGAAAGCCUGACGCAGCGACGCCGCGUGGGGGAUGAAGGUCUUCGGAUUGUAAACCCCUUUCGGGAGGGAAGAUGGAACGAGCAAUCGUUCGGACGGUACCUCCAGAAGCAGCCACGGCUAACUUCGUGCCAGCAGCCGCGGUAAG